Molecule: ribosomal RNA, 253 nt
Filed under: uncultured prokaryote
Description: partial 16S ribosomal RNA
Rfam family: Bacterial small subunit ribosomal RNA
Source: RNAcentral
ACGUAGGGUGCGAGCGUUAAUCGGAAUUACUGGGCGUAAAGCGUGCGCAGGCGGUUCGUUAUGUCCGAUGUGAAAGCCCCGAGCUUAACUUGGGAAUGGCAUUGGAAACUGGCGGGCUGGAGUGCGGCAGAGGGGGGUGGAAUUCCACGUGUAGCAGUGAAAUGCGUAGAGAUGUGGAGGAACACCGAUGGCGAAGGCAGCCCCCUGGGCCGACACUGACGCUCAGGCACGAAAGCGUGGGGAGCAAACAGGA